UCUCUCUCUCCUGGUAAAACCUCUCUGAGACAUUCCGCACCCUCCUGAAACUCUUCCACUCACUUUGUCUCAAAUUGAAGAGUCUGUCUGGGAAGAGAGCGGGAGAAAACUAAGCGCGUCUCCAUCUCCAUUGCGCACAGAGAGCUGCUCGUGAAGCCUAUUUAGUUUCUAUGUUUCUUUUAUUUGUUGGUAAAUCAUUUUCCUCUCCAGCCGAACCGGAUCGAUCGACCCCAGUUACCUUAGGGCGCGGAUGACGAAUGUGCGUGUGGAGAGCCACUUUCCCUGGAUAUAAACAUGCGACGGGAUGUUGGUUAGACAGGCGCGGGUACAAACCAUGGAAAUCUGUCGGAAAGGAGUGAUACUGUGUGUGCGAGGUUACUGAGAACCCGUCAUGCGCUGUUAUUGACCUUCACUGCGCGUUUAUCUGGAGACAUUUGGAUCCGUCGGUGUGAUCGGAGAGGUCUUCUCUCUCCUCUAGCGCAUAAAUCUAUGGAAAAGCAUACAUGCGGGACAUGGAUAGACUGAUUGAGCCAUCUAUGGAUGUAGUGCCGAUGAUCAGAGCCCCUGUCUGAGGUCUGGUGGUCUUGGGGAGUUCGUGGAAUGCUAACGCACCGACGCGCCGCGUCCUUCUCGCCUUCGCCCUGCUCUCCGCGGCGCACAGACGUCUAGAUUCAUCAUGCUGAGGCAGAUGCUGUUGAACUCCACGGCAGCGGCGCGAGACUUCGAUCUGAUGAGCAACACACACACGCCGGCGCCUCUGAACGUGUCCCAUGGGUCCGUGAGUGUGUCGGCCCUCCUGAAGCCCACGGGCCGCGGGAGCGCCCUGCGAGAGGGCGAGCCCGACAAGCCGGACCUGGCCACUUAUGUGGUGAUGUGCCUGGUGCUCUUCCUGCUGGUCCUCCUCAUCGUGUUCUUCAUCAACUGUCAGCUGAGGAACUCUUUCUUCGCCUCCAUGCCUUACGACCGCUCACUGCGAGAGGCCCGCAGCUCGUACAAGUGACCCGUUUGAGCCCUGACAUGAUGCUAAAGAGAACCAGAUUGAAGCUGGACUCCCCCGUGUGAUCGAUCCGUCUGUAUAUAAUGACUGUUUUGUACUUCUGCACGGCCUUUUCUGUCCAUAUUCGCUUUAUCAUCAUGUGCGUUAUGUAAGAGAUUAUUUUCUUGUACGAUGUUAAACGAUGAUUAAAUCUCACAUUCAUGA
Molecule: long non-coding RNA, 1201 nt
Organism: Carassius auratus (goldfish)
Lineage: Eukaryota; Metazoa; Chordata; Actinopteri; Cypriniformes; Cyprinidae
Exons: 2
Source: RefSeq, a predicted model, not a curated record